CCUACGGGAGGCAGCAGUAGGGAAUUUUCCACAAUGGGCGCAAGCCUGAUGGAGCAACACCGCGUGAGUGAAGAAGGCUUUCGGCUCGUAAAGCUCUGUUGUUGGAGAAGAACUUGCGUGAGAGUCACUGUUCACGCAGUGACGGUCUCCAACCCGACAGUCACGGCUAAAUACGUGCCAGCAGCCGCGGUAAUACGUAGGUGGCAAGCGUUAUCCGGAUUUAUUGGGCGUAAGGGGAGCGCAGGCGGUCGCUUAGGUCUGAUGUGAAACCCUUCGGCUUAACCCAAGAAGUGCAUCGGAAACCGGGCGACUUGAGUGAAGAAGAGGACAGUGGAAUUCCAUGUGUAGCGGUGGAAUGCGUAGAUAUAGGGAAGAACACCAGUGGCGAAGGCGGCUGUCUGGUCUUCAACUGACGCUGAGGCGCGAAAGCAUGGGUAGCGAACAGGAUUAGAUACCCGAGUAGUC
RNAcentral lists this ribosomal RNA (465 nucleotides) under uncultured bacterium. RNAcentral's name for it is "partial 16S ribosomal RNA". It matches the Rfam family "Bacterial small subunit ribosomal RNA", at positions 338 to 795 of the family's 1533-position model. The record is from RNAcentral.